UACGUAGGGACCAAGCGUUGUUCGGAUUUACUGGGCGUAAAGGGCGCGUAGGCGGCUUGUCAAGUCACUUGUGAAAUCUCUGGGCUUAACCCAGAACGGCCAAGUGAAACUGACAUGCUAGAGUGCAGAAGGGGCAAUCGGAAUUCUUGGUGUAGCGGUGAAAUGCGUAGAUAUCAAGAGGAACACCUGAGGUGAAGACGGGUUGCUGGGCUGACACUGACGCUGAGGCGCGAAAGCCAGGGGAGCAAACGGG
Molecule: ribosomal RNA, 253 nt
Filed under: uncultured bacterium
Lineage: Bacteria
Also listed under: 1 other name
Description: partial 16S ribosomal RNA
Rfam family: Bacterial small subunit ribosomal RNA
Source: RNAcentral